This 253-nucleotide ribosomal RNA is filed under the name uncultured bacterium. RNAcentral's name for it is "partial 16S ribosomal RNA". It matches the Rfam family "Bacterial small subunit ribosomal RNA", at positions 524 to 776 of the family's 1533-position model. The record is from RNAcentral.
UACGUAGGCAGCAAGCGUUGUUCGGAAUUACUGGGCGUAAAGAGUGUGUAGGCGGUGCUCCCAGUCUGGUGUGAAAUCUCCCGGCUUAACUGGGAGGGUGCAUUAGAAACUGGAAUGCUAGAGGAUGGGAGAGGUAAGCGGAAUUCCUGGUGUAGCGGUGAAAUGCGUAGAUAUCAGGAGGAACACCUGUGGUGUAGACAGCUUACUGGACCAUUUCUGACGCUGAGACACGAAAGCGUGGGUAGCAAACAGG